Clupea harengus (Atlantic herring) is the source of this 1552-nucleotide long non-coding RNA. The record is from Ensembl. NCBI's taxonomy places the organism in Eukaryota, Metazoa, Chordata, Actinopteri, Clupeiformes, Clupeidae.
AACCAUGUGCUCCAUCAGAGUUGGCAUGUAUUAUUGUAGAUAAUGCAAAACUGAGGUGGAACAUUGUCUGAUAAUCCACUGCCAUAUGGGCACCCGAACAGCCAGUGAGUGGGAGGACAGUUACUCAGAUUCGGCUGGAUGGGUUCCCUGUCGCAAAGACUCGCAGGAGUAGCAGACACUCCCAGGCGGACCGUCUGCCUUUGCCACGACACACAAACAGGAAGCCCUCCAGAUGACAGAGAAAUCUGCCAUCGGGCUGAUUGCUGUGGCCGAGGCCCCGAGGAUGAAGGAAUGAAUGAGGGUGAAGAGUGGGAUGGAUGGAGUAAAGCCCGCAAAAAAAGAGAGAAAAUGAGACGAGUUGGCAUUCAGCUCAUCCUAGCAAAGGCUGAGUCAGGGGAGCCAUCGCUGCCUGCUGACAUUAGCCACUCUCCACUGGACAUGUCUCCCGUGGUCCCUCUUAAACUGCCCGGCUCCCUGGGGGAGCGAUGAAACAAGCAGGACUCUUCCCGUUUAAAAGGCUGUCCGUGGAGAUGGGGCCUCCAAGUGAUUGGGGAUGAGUAAAAAUGGGGGGGGGGGGAAUACAACAAAAAACAGGCGGCGGAGGUACUCGAUGGGAAGGUACAGCACGCACCACGCCACGAGGGCUGGAGCCUUCUGUAGUCAGGUGGGCCGGUGCCAGUGAUUGGAUUCCCAGGGAAAAUGCCAGGCACUGCGGUAUCUGCCAGCCACUCUGAAGCUGCGACAUUCCCCCUCCUUGAUGAAGCCAAAGCGGCCUGUGAUCCUCAAGCCCUGAGCGUUUCAAUCUCUCCUGUCUCACCAGACAGCGUUUGGCUUGCUCCUCCUCUCACCCCCUUUUUUUCCCCCCGUGUCUCUCAGAUCUUUUUUUUUUUUUUCAUUAAAUGCGGUCUAAAAUGUAGCUCAAAAAUGUUCUGAGGCGCACCCCACCGCCGCCUCCACUCAAAGCUUUUAAGACCAAAUGCUAAGAGCGAGAGCUUGCUUCUGGGAAAAGAAGGGAAUCCCGCUCAAUACUGUACAGGAUCCGUGAAACCAGAUGCGCCCAGUCUUAUGUGUGUAGAUCUGAGAAUGUGAUAUCAGUAUGUGUUGAGGCAAAUGCUACGCUAAUGGAUGUGUAUUAUAUCCUUCUGAUCUUACCCUUCUGUAGAUAACAGAUAUUAAACAAAAGUACACCCAGGGCCGCCUCUGGAUGGGAGGAGGCCCUAGAAAGGGGGGGGCGGGGGGGUGUCCCCCCGGUGAGAUUUUCACCGUCACCAUCCCCAGCUGGUGUUACUCGAGGCGAUUGCCUGAUGCAGGCACGAGUACACCCACUUGGAUUUUGCACCUCUGAAGUACUGAAUGUCACAGAAAUGUUUUUUGAAAAGCUAUUUUUAGACAACAUUUGAGUUAUUUUGUGCUGUCAGUGCUGCUUCUCUCUGCUGCAUAUGAUGCUGCACCUCCAGUUUUUCGGUCCCUUUAGACACAGAGAGACGCUGCCAACUGUCAGGCAACUGUUUCAUCUCUAGUGACUAAGUGGAAAGCCGGUGUCUUAUAGUUC